RNAcentral lists this ribosomal RNA (440 nucleotides) under uncultured bacterium. RNAcentral's name for it is "bacterial SSU rRNA". It matches the Rfam family "Bacterial small subunit ribosomal RNA", at positions 340 to 773 of the family's 1533-position model. The record is from RNAcentral.
UACGGGAGGCAGCAGUGGGGAAUAUUGCACAAUGGGCGCAAGCCUGAUGCAGCCAUGCCGCGUGUAUGAAAAAGGCCCUUCGGGUUGUAAAGUACUUUCAGUCGUGAGGAAGGUGUUAAGGUUAAUAACCUUAGCAAUUGACGUUAGCGACAGAAGAAGCACCGGCUAACUCCGUGCCAGCAGCCGCGGUAAUACGGAGGGUGCGAGCGUUAAUCGGAAUUACUGGGCGUAAAGGGCACGCAGGCGGUUAAUUAAGUUGGAUGUGAAAUCCCCGGGCUUAACCUGGGAAUGGCAUUCAAGACUGGUUAGCUAGAGUCUUGUAGAGGGGGUAGAAUUCCAUGUGUAGCGGUGAAAUGCGUAGAGAUGUGGAGGAAUACCGGUGGCGAAGGCGGCCCCUGGACAAAGACUGACGCUCAUGUGCGAAAGCGUGGGGAGCAAAC